AUUGAACGCUGGCGGCAUGCCUUACACAUGCAAGUCGAACGGCAGCACGGGUGCUUGCACCUGGUGGCGAGUGGCGAACGGGUGAGUAAUACAUCGGAACAUGUCCUGUAGUGGGGGAUAGCCCGGCGAAAGCCGGAUUAAUACCGCAUACGAUCUACGGAUGAAAGCGGGGGCCCUUCGGGCCUCGCGCUAUAGGGUUGGUCGAUGGCUGAUUAGCUAGUUGGUGGGGUAAAGGCCUACCAAGGCGACGAUCAGUAGCUGGUCUGAGAGGACGACCAGCCACACUGGGACUGAGACACGGCCCAGACUCCUACGGGAGGCAGCAGUGGGGAAUUUUGGACAAUGGGCGAAAGCCUGAUCCAGCAAUGCCGCGUGUGUGAAGAAGGCCUUCGGGUUGUAAAGCACUUUUGUCCGGAAAGAAAUCCUUGGCUCUAAUACAGUCGGGGGAUGACGGUACCGGAAGAAUAAGCACCGGCUAACUACGUG
This 486-nucleotide ribosomal RNA is filed under the name uncultured bacterium. RNAcentral's name for it is "partial 16S ribosomal RNA". It matches the Rfam family "Bacterial small subunit ribosomal RNA", at positions 30 to 507 of the family's 1533-position model. The record is from RNAcentral.